Molecule: ribosomal RNA, 492 nt
Filed under: uncultured bacterium
Lineage: Bacteria
Description: partial 16S ribosomal RNA
Rfam family: Bacterial small subunit ribosomal RNA
Source: RNAcentral
AGUGAACGCUGGCGGUAGGCCUAACACAUGCAAGUCGAACGGCAGCACAGUAAGAGCUUGCUCUUACGGGUGGCGAGUGGCGGACGGGUGAGGAAUACAUCGGAAUCUACUUUUUCGUGGGGGAUAACGUAGGGAAACUUACGCUAAUACCGCAUACGACCUACGGGUGAAAGCAGGGGAUCUUCGGACCUUGCGCGAUUGAAUGAGCCGAUGUCGGAUUAGCUAGUUGGCGGGGUAAAGGCCCACCAAGGCGACGAUCCGUAGCUGGUCUGAGAGGAUGAUAAGCCACACUGGAACUGGGACACGGUCCAGACUCCUAAGGGAGGCAGCAGUGGGGAAUAUUGGACAAUGGGCGGAAGCCUGAUCCAGCCAUACCGCGUGGGUGAAGAAGGCCUUCGGGUUGUAAAGCCCUUUUGUUGGGAAAGAAAAGCAGCAGGUUAAUACGCCGCUGUUCUGACGGUACCCAAAGAAUAAGCACCGGCUAACUUCGUG